AAAGCGUGCGCAGGCGGUUAUGUAAGACAGAUGUGAAAUCCCCGGGCUCAACCUGGGAACUGCAUUUGUGACUGCAUGGCUAGAGUACGGUAGAGGGGGAUGGAAUUCCGCGUGUAGCAGUGAAAUGCGUAGAUAUGCGGAGGAACACCGAUGGCGAAGGCAAUCCCCUGGGCCUGUACUGACGCUCAUGCACGAAAGCGUGGGGAGCAAACAGGAUUAGAUACCCUAGU
Molecule: ribosomal RNA, 230 nt
Filed under: uncultured bacterium
Lineage: Bacteria
Description: partial 16S ribosomal RNA
Rfam family: Bacterial small subunit ribosomal RNA
Source: RNAcentral